RNAcentral lists this ribosomal RNA (411 nucleotides) under uncultured bacterium. RNAcentral describes it as "bacterial SSU rRNA". It matches the Rfam family "Bacterial small subunit ribosomal RNA", at positions 505 to 916 of the family's 1533-position model. The record is from RNAcentral.
GUGCCAGCAGCCGCGGUAAUACGUAGGGGGCGAGCGUUGUCCGGAGUUACUGGGCGUAAAGGGCACGCAGGCGGUCUACUGCGUUUGGAGUGACAGUUGUCGGCUUAACUGACAAAGGACUCUGAAAACGGGUAGACUUGAGGCCUUGAGAGGGAGACGGAAUUCCGGGUGGAGCGGUGAAAUGCGUAGAGAUCCGGAGGAACACCGAAGGCGAAGGCAGUCUCCUGGCAAGGAUCUGACGCUCAGGUGCGAAAGCUAGGGGAGCGAACAGGAUUAGAUACCCUGGUAGUCCACGCCCUAAACGAUGAUCACUAGGUGUUGGCGGAGCAAUCUGCUGGUACCGUAGCUAACGCGUGAAGUGAUCCGCCUGGGGAGUACGGUCGCAAGAUUAAAACUCAAAGGAAUUGACGG